AGCGAACGCUGGCGGCAGGCUUAACACAUGCAAGUCGAACGCCCCGCAAGGGGAGUGGCAGACGGGUGAGUAACACGUGGGAACGUACCCUUUGGUUCGGAAUAACUUGGGGAAACUCAAGCUAAUACCGGAUAAGCCCUUAUGGGGAAAGGUUUACUGCCGAAGGAUCGGCCCGCGUCUGAUUAGCUAGUUGGUGAGGUAAUGGCUCACCAAGGGGACGAUCAGUAGCUGGUCGGAGAGGAUGAUCAGCCACACUGGGACUGAGACACGGCCACGACUCCUCCGGGGGGCAGGAGUGGGAAAUAUGAGACAAGGGGGGCAACCCUUAUCCGGCCAUGCCGCGUGAGUGAUGAAGGCCUUAGGGUUGUAAAGCUUUUUUACCCGGGACGAUAAUGACUGUACCGGGAGAAUAAGCCCCGGCUAACUUCGUGCCAGCCGCCGCGGUAA
Molecule: ribosomal RNA, 447 nt
Filed under: uncultured bacterium
Lineage: Bacteria
Description: partial 16S ribosomal RNA
Rfam family: Bacterial small subunit ribosomal RNA
Source: RNAcentral